UCUGAAGGAAUAUCCUGAUUUAAUUCCUAUUCAUAGAAGCUUUGAAAAUGUAAUCCAAUACGAAUAUUGUCUCCCGAAAAGUGAUAGAGGAAAGACAAAAAACAUGCCCAGCACUGAGCCAAGCUGUGAGCAAGGUGUGUUUCAGCCCCAGACCUAUCAAUUUGGAACAGCCCCACCCACAGGACCAGGUGAGAUGACGCCUUGGCUGAUUCCAGAACCAGGGGGACAUGAUGGUCAGUUGCCCCAGCCUGGUCCGAUCAGUUGCGCCCAGUCAGAGAUGCCCAGCCUAUACCCGAAUAAUGGACAAGCCUGAGAUUACCAGGGACAAGCAAGCCUGUAGUCUGACGGUCAGAUUUAUUUACUCAUUGCAACAACGGAGAGGAAUAAACAUCAGAGGCACCAUGGGAUGUUUUGCCAAAGAGACAGUUAUUAUUGGUUUUGGAAAAGGGUGGUGUUUACAUCGAAUUGAUAAGAAGCAGUGCUUUGAUAAGUUCAAAGCAAGCCAGAGCUGUGUGUAAAGAGGUCAAGAUCAAGUCUGGAUUGCGACGUAGACCCAGGGUUCUGCUUUGUAGGAAACUGCAAACUUAAGAAAAUGUGGACCAUUGUAUUCAGAAAUCCUUAUUGGAAGCUCCACACCUGGAUUAAAAAUCAAGAUUCCAUCACUUUAUCACAAUAACUUAGAUCUUCCAAGCAAAGGUGAGCUGUUUUACUCUUGCCGAUAUCAUUUCGAACAGCAAGUUUCUGAUGGUGUUUGACUUUUGAGAACAAAGUUCACCACUGAGUAAGAAAGGGGUGCUCACCCAAAGGAGGGUUGUUAUGAUACUUUACAGCUGCAGCAAGUUCCUAGGAGAAAUAUUAUUUUCAUUAACUUUGCAGCUGGCCUCCCUCAUAUCUGUUAUUCAAGUCUCGUGAAUGGCAGAGCAGAUUUUUGCUUUCUCAGACAGCUAAUUUCUACUUUCUUAAUGUUAUUGAAUAUGUAGCAGUUUAUUA
Molecule: long non-coding RNA, 990 nt
Organism: Pteropus alecto (black flying fox)
Lineage: Eukaryota; Metazoa; Chordata; Mammalia; Chiroptera; Pteropodidae
Exons: 4
Source: RefSeq, a predicted model, not a curated record